UUAAGCUACUAAGAGCAUAGGGUGAAUGCCUUGGCACCAAGAGCCGAUGAAGGACGUGAUAAGCUGCGAAAAGCUAUGGGGAGGAGCAAAUAUCCAUUAUAUCCAUAGAUAUCCGAAUGAGGGAACUCAGCUGGUGGAAAAAGACCAGUUAUCCAUACAUAAGUAAAGUAGUGUAUGUGAAGGGAACGUGGGGAACUGAAACAUCUAAGUACCCACAGGAAAAGAAAGAAAACUCGAUUCCUUGAGUAGUGGCGAGCGAAAGAGGAAGAGCCUAAACCAGAAGAAGUAAUUCAUCUGGGGUUAAGGACUACAUAAUUGAUUCAUGAGAUUUAGCAGAAUUGUUUGGAAAAGCAGACCAAAGAUAGUGAAAGUCUAGUAAGCGAAAAAUCAAAUGACAUGGUAGUAUCCAGAGUAGUGCGAGACACGGGAAAUCUCGUAUGAAGAAUGGGGGACCACCCCCAAAGGCUAAAUACUACUUGGUGACCGAUAGUGAAGCAGUACCGUGAGGGAAAGGUGAAAAGAACCCCGGGAGGGGAGUGAAAGAGAACCUGAAACCCUAUGUUUACAAGCAGACAAAGCACGUUAAGGUGCGAUGUCGUACUUUUUGUAGAACGGUCCGGCGAGUUAUUUUAUAUGGCAAGGUUAAGUACUUAAGGUACGAAGCCGAAGAGAAAUCGAGUCUGAACAGGGCGAAUAAGUCAUAUGAAAUAGACCCGAAACCGGGUGACCUAUCCAUGGUCAGGUUGAAGCUUGAGUAAAAUCAAGUGGAGGACCGAACCCAUAAGCGUUAAAAAGCUUCGGGAUGAACUGUGGAUAGCGGAGAAAUUCCAAUCGAACUCGGAGAUAGCUGGUUCUCCUCGAAAUAGUUUUAGGACUAGCCUUGUUUAGUAGUACGUGGGGGUAGAGCACUGAAGGAGCUAGGGGCCAAACCAGGUUACCGAACUCUAUCAAACUCCGAAUACCAUGUGCGUAAGAACAGGAGUCAGACUGUGGGAGCUAAGUUCCAUGGUCAAAAGGGAAAGAGCCCAGAUCGUCAAUUAAGGUCCCAAAGAUAUAGUUAAGUGGAAAACGAUGUGAUUUUGCGUAAACAACCAGGAUGUUGGCUUAGAAGCAGCCAUUCAUUUAAAGAGUGCGUAAUAGCUCACUGGUCGAGUGAAGUUGCGCGGAAAAUUACCGGGGCUAAACUAUACACCGAAAUUGCGGAUUUAUACAGUAGUAUAAGUGGUAGAGGAGCAUUCUGUUGUAGGACGAAGCAUGAUCGAAAGGACAUGUGGACGAAGCAGAAGAGAGAAUGCCGGAAUAAGUAGCGAAAGCAUGGUGAGAAUCCAUGCCAUCGAAAGUCUAAGGUUUCCUGGGGAAGGUUCGUCCGCCCAGGGUAAGUCGGGACCUAAGGUGAGGCCGAAAGGCGUAGCCGAUGGACAGCAGGUAGAAAUUCCUGCACCACCGAUAUACUUAAAAAGCACAAGGGACACAGGAGUGGAAGAGAAGCGAGGAAGAGGAAAAACUCGUAUCGAAAGAUAUAGUGAAAAUAAAGUAACGAAUUCUCAAGAAGCACACUGGCGAGAAAAGCUUGUGAGUCUUGUAUAUAGGUGCCCGUACCGCAAACCGACACAGGUAGAUGAGGAGAAGAUCCUAAGAUGAGCGAGAGAAGCAUUGUUAAGGAACUCGGCAAAUUGACCCCGUAACUUAGGGAUAAGGGGUACCAGUGUAACAGCUGGUCGCAGUGAAUCGGUCCAAGCAACUGUUUAACAAAAACACAGGUUUCUGCUAAAUCGAAAGAUGAAGUAUAGGAGCUGACGCCUGCCCAGUGCUGGAAGGUUAAGGGGAAGGGUUAUUCGUAAGAAGAAGCUUUGAACCAAAGCCCCAGUGAACGGCGGCCGUAACUAUAACGGUCCUAAGGUAGCGAAAUUCCUUGUCAGGUAAGUUCUGACCCGC
RNAcentral lists this ribosomal RNA (1935 nucleotides) under human gut metagenome. Its description in RNAcentral is "bacterial LSU rRNA". It matches the Rfam family "Bacterial large subunit ribosomal RNA", at positions 3 to 1991 of the family's 2925-position model. The record is from RNAcentral.